UAAACACCUGAAAGCUGGGCCCUGGCUGCACGGACGUGCGGACGGCGUCGACGGAGCGAGGCCGAGCCGUGGCUCGAGACGUCGCCGGCGUCCUGGUCCGUGGAUCAGAUCCGGUAGCGCCGGCAGUCGACGCAGUAAAUGCGAUUGGUGGGCCGCUCGGGGGAUGGGGCACUGGAUUUGGAUCUAGCAUUCUUCCCCAGGCGGCGAAGCGGCGGGGAAAUCUACUGCGGCGAAGGCGAUUUGGCAGUCCAGCGAGCUCGAAGGUGCUCGGGCAGCCAUGGAGUUCUUGAUGCAGCCCAUAAGCAGGACACUGCUAGAAGAGAUCAAUGAUAACAAUAGCAUGAUGGAGACUGUGCGGGUCCUGGUCGUCGCGGCCGCGGAGGUAGAGUUGGCAGCACCGGCGGCUUCCAGCGCCGACAGGCAAAUCUGUCUUGAAGCAGCCAGUGCAAAGCCUGCAGGUGCAGAUGGGGCUGAAUGCUCAGAGCACUCCAUAGAGCAGCUGGACCCAAAAACACCGGGCUGGGCGCAAAGAGUGCGUGUCAGUGCUGCUGCUCUAGGUAGGGCUCCUUGCCCGGACAGGGUUACAGCCCUGGAGAAGACUGUCUGACAAUUUGCAAAGGAACCCGAACCAGGAGACAUUGUCAUUGUGCCAAAGAUAGGAACAAGUUUGGACACACUUGGCGAGGCGUACGACUUUUACAAUUUAUACUCGUGGGAGAAAGGAUAGAUAUGGAAAAAGCAGGCUAAAUGUCAACCGGACGAAAUGCAUGCUGGAGACAGUCUGUGGAUGUGCGGGGAAGCCAAUAAUUGAAGAUACUCGUUCUUGCCACUGUGAAUGCCCUGCCCUCAUAAGGUUGUUGCAGUCAAAGGACAAUGGUUGGUAUAUAGCUGAGCAUCGAGAAGUGCACAACCAUGCACUGUCAUAGACAUUUUUUUUUGAUAAAAGAGAGCAUUCUCUCCGAUUUCCAUUAAGAGAAAUCACCAUGUCUUACAAAGAAAAAACAGGAAAUAAAACUGCAGCAUAACCCCCCCCCCUACGCAGUACUGUCACAGAAAUAUGGUCAGACACAAGCAUAUUGAUGUGUACAACAGGGAUCUUGUGAAGCAGCUUUGGCAAAACAAUGUAAACCUUGCCAAGGUGUACAUCAUUAUCAGUAGCUUCUUUGGAAGAUGGAGAAUGUACCAUUCACAAAGAGAGCAUUACGGAAUCUGUGUGGUAAGAUAAGCCGAGAGCAGUCGGAGGAUGAUGUGAGGAAAAAAAUGAUUGACCAUGAGCUGAUGUCUGUCAUUCUCCAUCGGUAUUGCCAGGCUGACCAGGAAGCCGAUGAAGAAUUGCCCCACCUAACAUGGAGGCACCCACUUGAACCAGAUUACUCGACAUUGGUGCUAUCCGAUUUCGACUAUGUCCACACUGUCGAUUCAGAACCAGUUAGCAGCUAGUGCGCCGAAGUAUGACAUCACAUCAGCACAACUGUUCUUCACUCCCGUUCCAGAUCCCGAAGGUUGGAUGGUCAUUUUUUGGGACAUGGCCGGUUACACGGCUGAUGACAGUCAUCAACCUGUUGUACAGUAAGAAAUGUCCACACCCACCUACCCAGCAACUGGACGAAAUCAUAGCAUGGAAGCUACAUUAUGCCCUGUUCCAUUGCCGGACAGAAUACUAUGCCGGGUGGCCAGCAAGCAAGGAAGGCUGGACUGUGAAGUUCCUGGCAUUCGCUGAGACCAAAUUCACACGCGAGGAGUUUGGUGCUUGCGUUGUCCACAUAGUCCGUCAGUUCGACGGGGACAACCUGAAGCUGCCCAUUACAAAGCACAACAUAUCAAAAUCAAAGCACGACGCCCUGCGCACGAAUGCAUGAAGCUACAGGGAAAUUUCUCCUCCCCCGCCCGUGAGGCAGUUUGGCAUGUUCUUGCCCUAUCAGACUCCACAUUUGACACCAGCUAAAACACCGAUGUACUAAAUUACCCAGGAUGUCCCACUGGGUGAUUUAUCCUUAUCAUCUCAUGAAAAGAAGUGUUUUCAACACAAGCUUGUACCCCUAAUGCUACAUUUGAAUUAUGUGCCGAGCAUUGUACUAUCAAAGACCAUGGUUUCAAACCAUAUCCUUUUUUGUUAAGCAAUUUGCUGCCCCUGA
This is a long non-coding RNA of Triticum aestivum (bread wheat), 2135 nucleotides long. RefSeq lists it as uncharacterized. The record is from RefSeq and is a predicted model, not a curated record. NCBI's taxonomy places the organism in Eukaryota, Viridiplantae, Streptophyta, Magnoliopsida, Poales, Poaceae. The transcript has 8 exons.